RNAcentral lists this ribosomal RNA (574 nucleotides) under Salmonella enterica. RNAcentral's name for it is "partial 23S ribosomal RNA". Lineage: Bacteria; Pseudomonadati; Pseudomonadota; Gammaproteobacteria; Enterobacterales; Enterobacteriaceae. The record is from RNAcentral.
GAUGUAGAGCGCAAUAGUAGAAGUGGGCUUGACUGUGAGACCAACAAGUCGAGCAGGGUCGAAAGACGGAUAUAGUGAUCCGGUGGUUCCACAUGGAAGGGCCAUCGCUCAAAGGAUAAAAGGUACGCCGGGGAUAACAGGCUGAUCUCCCCCAAGAGCUCAUAUCGACGGGGAGGUUUGGCACCUCGAUGUCGGCUCGUCACGUCCUGGGGCUGGAGAAGGUCCCAAGGGUUCGGCUGUUCGCCGAUUAAAGUGGCACGCGAGCUGGGUUCAGAACGUCGUGAGACAGUUCGGUCCCUAUCUGUGAUGGGCGUUGGAUAUUUGAGAGGACCUGUCCUUAGUACGAGAGGACCGGGAUGGACCAGCCGCUGGUGCGCCGGUUGUACCGCCAGGUGCAGCGCCGGGUAGCUACGCUGGGACGAGAUAAGCGCUGAAAGCAUCUAAGUGCGAAACUCCCCUCAAGAUGAGAUAUCCGAAUGAAAGGUUCGUGGGAGACGACCACGUAUAUAGGCGGCAGGUGUAAAGUUAGAAAUAGCACAGCUGAGCSGUACUAAGGAMCCGARSRCUUACGCUU